AGAGUUUGAUCCUGGCUCAGGAUGAACGCUGGCGGCGUGCUUAACACAUGCAAGUCGAACGAACCUUCGGGUUAGUGGCGGACGGGUGAGUAACGCGUGGGAAUCUGCCCUCAGGAGGGGGAUAACGGCUGGAAACGGCCGCUAAUACCCCAUAUGCCGAGAGGUGAAAUGAAUUUCGCCUGAGGAUGAGCCCGCGUCUGAUUAGCUAGUUGGUGAGGUAAGAGCUCACCAAGGCAUCGAUCAGUAGCUGGUCUGAGAGGAUGAUCAGCCACACUGGGACUGAGACACGGCCCAGACUCCUACGGGAGGCAGCAGUGGGGAAUUUUCCGCAAUGGGCGAAAGCCUGACGGAGCAACGCCGCGUGAGGGAUGAAGGCCUCUGGGCUGUAAACCUCUUUUCUCAAGGAAGAAGAUCUGACGGUACUUGAGGAAUAAGCCACGGCUAAUUCCGUGCCAGCAGCCGCGGUAAUACGGGAGUGGCAAGCGUUAUCCGGAAUUAUUGGGCGUAAAGCGUCCGCAGGCGGCCCUUCAAGUCUGCUGUUAAAGCGUGGAGCUUAACUCCAUCAUGGCAGUGGAAACUGUUGGGCUUGAGUGUGGUAGGGGCAGAGGGAAUUCCCGGUGUAGCGGUGAAAUGCGUAGAUAUCGGGAAGAACACCAGUGGCGAAGGCGCUCUGCUGGGCCAUAACUGACGCUCAUGGACGAAAGCCAGGGGAGCGAAAGGGAUUAGAUACCCCUGUAGUCCUGGCCGUAAACGAUGAACACUAGGUGUCGGGGGAAUCGACCCCCUCGGUGUCGUAGCCAACGCGUUAAGUGUUCCGCCUGGGGAGUACGCACGCAAGUGUGAAACUCAAAGGAAUUGACGGGGGCCCGCACAAGCGGUGGAGUAUGUGGUUUAAUUCGAUGCAACGCGAAGAACCUUACCAGGGUUUGACAUCCUGCGAAUCUCUUGGAAACGAGAGAGUGCCUUCGGGAACGCAGUGACAGGUGGUGCAUGGCUGUCGUCAGCUCGUGUCGUGAGAUGUUGGGUUAAGUCCCGCAACGAGCGCAACCCACGUCUUUAGUUGCCAGCAUUUAGUUGGGCACUCUAGAGAGACCGCCGGUGAUAAACCGGAGGAAGGUGUGGAUGACGUCAAGUCAUCAUGCCCCUUACAUCCUGGGCUACACACGUACUACAAUGCUACGGACAAAGAGCAGCAAGUUCGCGAGGACAAGCAAAUCUCAUAAACCGUGGCUCAGUUCAGAUCGUAGGCUGCAACUCGCCUACGUGAAGGAGGAAUCGCUAGUAAUCGCAGGUCAGCAUACUGCGGUGAAUACGUUCCCGGGCCUUGUACACACCGCCCGUCACACCAUGGAAGUUGGCCACGCCCGAAGCCGUUACUCCAACCCUUGUGGAGGAGGACGUCGAAGGUGGGGCCGAUGACUGGGGUGAAGUCGUAACAAGGUAACC
RNAcentral lists this ribosomal RNA (1446 nucleotides) under uncultured bacterium. RNAcentral describes it as "bacterial SSU rRNA". It matches the Rfam family "Bacterial small subunit ribosomal RNA". The record is from RNAcentral.